Molecule: ribosomal RNA, 254 nt
Filed under: uncultured bacterium
Lineage: Bacteria
Description: partial 16S ribosomal RNA
Rfam family: Bacterial small subunit ribosomal RNA
Source: RNAcentral
CACGUAGGGGGCGAGCGUUGUCCGGAUUUAUUGGGCGUAAAGAGCUCGUAGGCGGCUCAGUAAGUCAGGUGUGAAAACUCCAGGCUCAACCUGGAGACGCCACUUGAUACUGCUGUGGCUAGAGUCCGGUAGGGGAGCAUGGAAUUCCUGGUGUAGCGGUGAAAUGCGCAGAUAUCGGGAGGAACACCUGUGGCGAAAGCGGCUCACUGGACCACAACUGACGCUGAGGCGCGAAAGCUAGGGGAGCAAACAGG